RNAcentral lists this ribosomal RNA (257 nucleotides) under uncultured bacterium. RNAcentral's name for it is "partial 16S ribosomal RNA". It matches the Rfam family "Bacterial small subunit ribosomal RNA", at positions 78 to 339 of the family's 1533-position model. The record is from RNAcentral.
CUUCGGAUGCUGACGAGUGGCGAACGGGUGAGUAAUACAUCGGAACGUGCCUAGUAGUGGGGGAUAACUACUCGAAAGAGUAGCUAAUACCGCAUGAGAUCUACGGAUGAAAGCAGGGGACCUUCGGGCCUUGUGCUACUAGAGCGGCUGAUGGCAGAUUAGGUAGUUGGUGGGGUAAAGGCUUACCAAGCCUGCGAUCUGUAGCUGGUCUGAGAGGACGACCAGCCACACUGGGACUGAGACACGGCCCAGACUCC